GGUGAAAAGCACCCCGGAAGGGGAGUGAAAUAGAACCUGAAACCGUGUGCUUACAAGUAGUCAGAGCCCGUUAAUGGGUGAUGGCGUGCCUUUUGUAGAAUGAACCGGCGAGUUACGAUUUGAUGCAAGGUUAAGCAGUAAAUGUGGAGCCGUAGCGAAAGCGAGUCUGAAUAGGGCGUUUAGUAUUUGGUCGUAGACCCGAAACCAGGUGAUCUACCCUUGGUCAGGUUGAAGUUCAGGUAACACUGAAUGGAGGACCGAACCGACUUACGUUGAAAAGUGAGCGGAUGAACUGAGGGUAGCGGAGAAAUUCCAAUCGAACCUGGAGAUAGCUGGUUCUCUCCGAAAUAGCUUUAGGGCUAGCCUCAAGUGAUGAUUAUUGGAGGUAGAGCACUGUUUGGACGAGGGGCCCCUCUCGGGUUACCGAAUUCAGACAAACUCCGAAUGCCAAUUAAUUUAACUUGGGAGUCAGAACAUGGGUGAUAAGGUCCGUGUUCGAAAGGGAAACAGCCCAGACCACCAGCUAAGGUCCCAAAAUAUAUGUUAAGUGGAAAAGGAUGUGGCGUUGCCCAGACAACUAGGAUGUUGGCUUAGAAGCAGCCAUCAUUUAAAGAGUGCGUAAUAGCUC
RNAcentral lists this ribosomal RNA (628 nucleotides) under Staphylococcus aureus. RNAcentral's name for it is "partial 23S ribosomal RNA". It matches the Rfam family "Bacterial large subunit ribosomal RNA", at positions 513 to 1143 of the family's 2925-position model. Lineage: Bacteria; Bacillati; Bacillota; Bacilli; Caryophanales; Staphylococcaceae. The record is from RNAcentral.